CGCCUUAAAUCACUUUAAUUUCUCUCUUCUUUUUCUUUUCUUUUCUUCUUCUUCUUCUUUUUUUUUUUUGGACCAACAGGUAGGGACUCCUUUAGCACUGUCGGAGGAGCACACGAGACGUGUCAUCCAGCAAAGAGAUGCACGGAGGAGUCAGCCAAGGGAGGCACAUGCAUCGAGGAGGCAUCGAUUGGAGGGGCAUGCAUGGAAUCAUCGGGCAAAGAAGAGGUGCCGAACC
Molecule: long non-coding RNA, 235 nt
Filed under: Elaeis guineensis (African oil palm)
Lineage: Eukaryota; Viridiplantae; Streptophyta; Magnoliopsida; Arecales; Arecaceae
Description: long non-coding RNA (EGUI_LNC000879)
Source: RNAcentral